UAAGCAGUGAUGAGCAGCUAACAUAUAAGAAGAACCCAUUAGGAAGUGGGAUCUUCCGUGAAAUACACUUUACGCUUGGCUUCUGAGCUUU
Molecule: small nucleolar RNA, 91 nt
Filed under: Macleaya cordata
Lineage: Eukaryota; Viridiplantae; Streptophyta; Magnoliopsida; Ranunculales; Papaveraceae
Description: Small nucleolar RNA R24
Rfam family: Small nucleolar RNA R24
About the family: snoR24 is a C/D box small nucleolar RNA which acts as a methylation guide for 18S ribosomal RNA in plants.
Source: Rfam by way of RNAcentral